AAAUUGAAGAGUUUGAUCAUGGCUCAGAUUGAACGCUGGCGGCAGGCUUAACACAUGCAAGUCGAACGGUAACAGGAAGCAGCUUGCUGCUUUGCUGACGAGUGGCGGACGGGUGAGUAAUGUCUGGGAAACUGCCUGAUGGAGGGGGAUAACUACUGGAAACGGUGGCUAAUACCGCAUAACGUCGCAAGACCAAAGAGGGGG
Molecule: ribosomal RNA, 204 nt
Filed under: Salmonella enterica subsp. enterica serovar Corvallis
Lineage: Bacteria; Pseudomonadati; Pseudomonadota; Gammaproteobacteria; Enterobacterales; Enterobacteriaceae
Description: partial 16S ribosomal RNA
Rfam family: Bacterial small subunit ribosomal RNA
Source: RNAcentral